GUGGCCAUAGAAAGGUAUGCUAACACCAUACCUGAUCUACAUUCGGUUAUCACCGCUACUGUACAUCCUUGCGGUGUACAGACUAGUGUUGAGCCGUUUUAGUCAGCUAUGGCCACACACACACUGGACAAGAAUCUCUGCGUAUGCAGGGUCAACACAAUGCCCGGCAAGGUGCUCACGGUAUACCCGAGUAGUGUAUUCGUCAUUGAAUGCUGUUUUUGUACUCAGUGCAAGAACGAUUCAUGGUUACGCUGCUCUUUGGUGGUAUGCCAGUACAUCUUGUUGUGGUUAACAUUGGACUGUUGAUAUGAUUCGGAGGCAAGUAGAUCGGUACUCUAUCCGACCCGUCUUGAAACACGGACCAAGGAGUCUAACAUGUAUGCAAGCCGAACAGUCUUGUAUAGGCUCGGUAGGCGAAUUGAAAGAAAUAUUUAUGGGUAUGAUGCGUUCUCUAUCAUUUCAUUGGACUCGAAAGUGUACCCAAUGUUGAUACGCCGCAAUACCGGCCCGUGGAUUAUCCUCUUUACCGAGAUAACCGCGGAGCUCUAGUAUAUAUGUUAGUACCCGAAAGAUGGUGAACUAUGCCCGGGCAAGAUGAAGCCAGAGGAAACUCUGGUGGAGGUCUGUAGCGAUUCUGACGUGCAAAUCGAUCGUCAGAUCCGGGUAUAGGGGCGAAA
Molecule: ribosomal RNA, 677 nt
Filed under: Brevipalpus obovatus
Lineage: Eukaryota; Metazoa; Arthropoda; Arachnida; Trombidiformes; Tenuipalpidae
Description: partial large subunit ribosomal RNA
Rfam family: Eukaryotic large subunit ribosomal RNA
Source: RNAcentral